GACAAAGGAGGCUAGCGUUGUUCGGAAUCACUGGGCGUAAAGCGCACGUAGGCGGUUCGACAAGUCGGGGGUUAAAGCCCGGGGCUCAACCUCGGAACUGCCCUCGAUACUGUCGGACUUGAGUCAGGGAGAGGUGGGUGGAAUUCCUGGUGUAGAGGUGAAAUGCGUAGAUAUUGGGAAGAACACCAGAGGCGAAGGCGGCUCACUGGGCCGUUACUGACGCUGAGGGGCGAAAGCGUGGGGAGCAAACAGG
RNAcentral lists this ribosomal RNA (253 nucleotides) under uncultured bacterium. Its description in RNAcentral is "partial 16S ribosomal RNA". It matches the Rfam family "Bacterial small subunit ribosomal RNA", at positions 524 to 776 of the family's 1533-position model. The record is from RNAcentral.